This is a long non-coding RNA of Octopus sinensis (East Asian common octopus), 93 nucleotides long. RefSeq lists it as uncharacterized. The transcript is spliced from 3 exons. The record is from RefSeq and is a predicted model, not a curated record. Lineage: Eukaryota; Metazoa; Mollusca; Cephalopoda; Octopoda; Octopodidae.
UAAAGACCAUGUAAUGCAAGGUGACAAGAAUGUCUCUUUAGUACAUCACAUGGUUGAUACAAUAAAUGUAAAUUGGAUAGGAAACAACACAAA